This 1805-nucleotide long non-coding RNA is filed under the name Marmota monax (woodchuck). The record is from RNAcentral. Lineage: Eukaryota; Metazoa; Chordata; Mammalia; Rodentia; Sciuridae.
GUGCUCUUGGCCCGCGGUCCUGGCGGGGCGUCCUGGGGCCGGCUCCCGCUGCCCCUUCAGCCCGCGGGCUUCUCGCAGAGGGGCACAAAGGGACGCCGUCGGCGCCGGCUGAGAGCCAGGCCCGGCCCGCGACGCCCGAUUGUCCCGGUGGGGAAACUGGGGGCCGUGGUGGUCCAGAGCUACUCCCUCCCGGGUCUCAGGCGACUCAGAGGCCCUGGUUCCCGCCGGCCCGGAAAGCCGGACACUGGCGCCCUUCUCCGAGCCUGGUGGUCUGGAGUUUCUUCCCACUGCCAGGCUGCCCGGAGACUGAGUCACCGCGUCCCGCGUGUGUGCCGGGCCUGCCUGCCUCGCGCGUAAAGUGUGGGCCUUCUCAGGUUCCGGCUCAGCCAGGCCUGCCUAGUAAGACCUAACGUGAUGCUGUGGAGCCUAGCAGACCGGGCUUUCAUGCCCGCAUUCGUAGCAGCUGAGCGUGUGCCUUCUACCCAGUCAUGUAACUUCUUUGUGUCUCGAUUUUUUCAUUUGCAAACGAGAAAUUACUAUUGCAUCUACCUCAUAGUACCGAUGAGAGACUUAAACUAGGUAAUCCACGUAGAGUGCUCAGUACAGUGCCGAGCAGUCGUUAAGUGCACAGUAGGCAUUAGCUAUUACUGUUUGCUGCAGAGUUUGGCUUGCUCUUGAAGGUUUAUGGCUUCCCAGUACGUUGUAGGCCAUCUUCCAUCCUUUUUACCUUUCAGAACCGAUCGUCUUUCUUUUGAAUCUCCGCUGUACCAUAGUCCAAUUCUGUGGCCUUGAACUUAUUUAACUUUCCACCUUUUUUCCCCUUCCUCUAGAAUACCAGUGAUAAUUGUUAGCUUGGCGAGUUGGCUAUAACUGAAUGCCUGACUAAAAUGGCAAAGUGCCUGCCUAGCUCCUGGCAAAGAACAGAUGUUCAGUUAAUGUUGGUACCUUACAUGUUAUGCUGGUUAAUGCACUCAGCCCACAGGAACAUCUGCCUGGAAUUUGUCAAACCUAAAUUAUUUUCCGACUCUACAUUCAGGCUUUACAGAGCUGAAUCUAUUUAAACGUAGUUCUUUGCUGAUUUAUUGUGACACUGGGAGAGCCAGUGUCUUAGGUUCCCUACACUUUUCAUCUGUAAAAGACAAUGGGAAUACCGAAUGAGACUUACUGGUUCCAGGGUUGGAGGAUACAACUAGAACAUUUUAAAUAUGAAUUCAUGGCCAACUCACUUGGUCUUUUGUGAAAAACUUUGCAGGCUGACAAGUUUUUCUUGCUUGGGUUAAUUUACUUGAAACAGCAUAAGAAAACAUGAAGGUGUUAAGAAUAUGAAAUUCUCCAAGAGCAAAGGACCCAAUUGUGCUUUUUAUUAAAAAAAAAAAAAAAGUCUUGAAGUGCCUCUGAUAAAAGUUACAGUAGAGCAAGCCAAAGUCAGUAUGUCAUAGCCAAGUGUAGUGGAUGAGAGCCUGUAAUAACCAAUUUUGAAUUAUUACCAUUGCCUGAAAUAUUAAGAGGGCAAGAAAGGAUCUUGCCUUUUUUUUUUUUAACAACAAGCUUGGUCUCACAAUAGGCCUUUCAUGCAUAUAGCUUAGAUACUCCUGGGAACCCAGGUAGUCAUUAAAAAUGGGUGGUGUGGGCUGUAGCAACCCAAUUAUGGCUCUGCAGCUGCUGUCUAGGAAAUCAAAGGAGGCAGUAUCUCUGCUACUGUCUCAAGAGUCUGGAGCAACUCUGGCUGCUCAUUAGUGAUUUUCUGCUCACAGUGAGGAACCCUCUGGAAAUCAGAUGGGUCUCAGCUUUUAGGAGAGAUCCUG